CGGCGGACGGGUGAGUAAUGUCUGGGAAACUGCCCGAUGGAGGGGGGUAACUACUGGAAACGGUAGCUAAUACCGCAUAACGUCGCAAGACCAAAGAGGGGGACCUUAGGGCCUCUUGCCAUCGGAUGUGCCCAGAUGGGAUUAGCUAGUAGGUGGGGUAACGGCUCACCUAGGCGACGAUCCCUAGCUGGUCUGAGAGGAUGACCAGCCACACUGGAACUGAGACACGGUCCAG
RNAcentral lists this ribosomal RNA (235 nucleotides) under uncultured bacterium. Its description in RNAcentral is "partial 16S ribosomal RNA". It matches the Rfam family "Bacterial small subunit ribosomal RNA", at positions 96 to 334 of the family's 1533-position model. The record is from RNAcentral.